RNAcentral lists this ribosomal RNA (491 nucleotides) under uncultured bacterium. Its description in RNAcentral is "partial 16S ribosomal RNA". It matches the Rfam family "Bacterial small subunit ribosomal RNA", at positions 29 to 506 of the family's 1533-position model. The record is from RNAcentral.
AGUGAACGCUGGCGGUAGGCCUAACACAUGCAAGUCGAACGGCAGCACAGUAAGAGCUUGCUCUUACGGGUGGCGAGUGGCGGACGGGUGAGGAAUACAUCGGAAUCUACUUUUUCGUGGGGGAUAACGUAGGGAAACUUACGCUAAUACCGCAUACGACCUACGGGUGAAAGCAGGGGAUCUUCGGACCUUGCGCGAUUGAAUGAGCCGAUGUCGGAUUAGCUAGUUGGCGGGGUAAAGGCCCACCAAGGCGACGAUCCGUAGCUGGUCUGAGAGGAUGAUCAGCCAAACUGGAAAUGAGACACGGGCCAGACCCCUACGGGAGGGAGCGGGGGGGAAUAUGGGAAAAUGGGCGCAAGCCGGAUCCAGCCAACCCGCGGGGGGGAAGAAGGCCUUGGGGUUGUAAAGCCCUUUUUUUGGGAAAAAAAAGCAGCAGGUUAAUACCCCGCUGUUCUGACGGUACCCAAAGAAUAAGCACCGGCUAACUUCGU